AGGACGAACGCUGGCGGCGUGCCUAAUACAUGCAAGUCUAAGGGGUGCAUACCCUUCGGGGUGUGUAUCACUGGCGCACGGGUGAGUAACGCGUAAGUUAUCUGCCCCUGGGUCUGGCAUAACCUCGGGAAACCGGGACUAAUUCCAGAUGAUACCGAAAGGUCAAAGCUUCGGCGCCCAGGGAUGAGCUUGCGUCUGAUUAGCUUGUUGGCGGGUAAUGGCCCACCAAGGCUACGAUCAGUAGCCGGUCUGAGAGGAUGAUCGGCAC
This 268-nucleotide ribosomal RNA is filed under the name uncultured soil bacterium. RNAcentral describes it as "partial 16S ribosomal RNA". It matches the Rfam family "Bacterial small subunit ribosomal RNA", at positions 26 to 311 of the family's 1533-position model. The record is from RNAcentral.